GGGCGGAUUUUCUAUCUGGUUGAACGUCUGUGGCGAGUUGCAGUUUAAACCUGAUUGAUGAAGUGAUACAUUAUUCGACGCCCAUUAUAUCUAUGUUGGGGGGAGUUUGUUUGGCUUAGCCCGCUGGUUCUGAGAUCUGCGGGCUUACUAUAUUGAGGGCUGGCUGCCUGUUCAAACUGGGGUUAGGGUUACCCUUGUUUAUUGAGUGUGUUAAUAGACUUGGUCUAGGUGUUAUUAAUUAGGUGAAACACCCCCCCGAGGUAAAGUACGUACGUGUUUAUGGGAUAAUAAGUAAUUCUAUUAAAUGUAUUCUAUCUCGGAUCUGGCCCGACUGUUUAUUAAAAACAUUUCCUCGUGUAUAUUGCGAGGUACAACCUGCCCGGUGGGUUUAACGGCCGCAGUAUAUUGACUGUGCGAAGGUAGCAUAAUUAAUUGCCCCGUAAUUGGGGGCUUGUUUGAAUGGUUUAACGUGGUUGGUAGUUGAGAUUACAUUUUUUAUUGAAAUUAAUAUCACGAGUACAGAAUCUGUGUGGGUUAGUUAGACGGAAAGACCCCGGGAUCUUUGAUUUUGUCUGGGGCGGAUGGGGCUGUUUCAGCCUCUUUGUGACCCUUAGUUUAAAGGUUUAAGUUACCCCGGGGAUAACAGAGUAAUAGUUUAUUAGAGGCCAUAUCGAUUAAACUGUUUGCUACCUCGAUGUUGA
RNAcentral lists this ribosomal RNA (701 nucleotides) under Promonobothrium currani. RNAcentral describes it as "partial large subunit ribosomal RNA". It matches the Rfam family "Bacterial large subunit ribosomal RNA", at positions 1495 to 2535 of the family's 2925-position model. The record is from RNAcentral. Lineage: Eukaryota; Metazoa; Platyhelminthes; Cestoda; Caryophyllidea; Caryophyllaeidae.